Long non-coding RNA from Cyprinus carpio carpio, 1525 nucleotides. The record is from Ensembl. Lineage: Eukaryota; Metazoa; Chordata; Actinopteri; Cypriniformes; Cyprinidae.
CUCGAACUAUUUUUGUCCACAGAUACGGAUUCCAGUCCUCGAUAACACUCCUCUUCAGCCCUUCCUCGACACACUCCACUUCAGCCCUUAAUUUCCAGCCGACUCCACUCCAGGUAAGUUUAAAGCAAGAGCUAGGCAGUUGACGUGCAGGGACUUUCUGGCUCUGGGGGGGGGGGGUGGACUUCAAGACCCAAGGCUGAGCUGUUAGCGUGCAGGGGUUCUAGCUCUCAGGUAAGUACAAAGUUCAAUACACAGGUGGGUAUUCACAGGGCUGGGCUGUUAGUGUGCAGGGGUUCUAGCUCACAGGUAAGUACAAAGUUCAAUACACAGGUGGGUAUUCACAGGGCUGGGCUGUUAGCGUGCAGGGGUUCUAGCUCCCAGGUAAGUACAGCGUUCAAUACACAAGUGGGUAUUCACAGGGCUGGGCUGUUAGUGUGCAGGGGUUCUAGCUCACAGGUAAGUACAGAAUUCAAUACACAGGUGGGUAUUCGCAGGGCUGGGCUGUUAGCGUGCAGGGGUUCUAGCUCUCAGGUAAGUACAGAAUUCAAUACACAGGUGAGCAUUCACAGGGCUGGGCUGUUAACUGGCUACUCACCACUGAAGAUAUUCAGAGGUCGGUAUUCCAAGCAGAUACGGGUUUGGUCGAUGACUGACGGCUGGUGGGCCUUACAGGUGAGACUGCAAACAAUACUGGGCUUCCCGCCCAGCUUGGCAAGGGGGCACACGGGGGAGGAUCGGCUGUUGUCCUUCGCUUCCCUCGUCAAAGAGACAGCACAGACGACACGCACAAGGCCGGUGGUUGCUGACAAGGCCAAUGACACAACGUCACGUGGAUGAAAAGGUAAGGCUUUGAUUUAAAAGCUUACAGAGAUCGCUGUGUGGGCGACGUCAUCCAACCUCCUCCAGAGGCGCCUCCAACACGUCCAAGCUCCAGCUUACUUAAGGUAAAGACUGUGGUUGCCACCAAUACACUGCUCCUCUCUGUCAGGCCUCUUCCUACGACCGGGGACACAACCACGGACAAACACCACACACCACAAAGGCACUACAAUUCUUCUCGUGUGUACACUUCAAUAUAGCAGCACUCACCGCACUCCACACACUCAGUGAAAGAAGAUCCGUGGUGUAUUCCCGUUUCGGGCUCAGAGUCCUGGCGGGGCGUGUCAGAUGGACGAAGGCAGGGGGCAGACCACAGCAGGCGUAUAUAUCGUACACCGGAGUCUCUCCGUCUUUCCCAGCGAUCUCCAACGCAAGGCACUACUAUCAACACUGAGUAAACACACAAGCACUGAGGAUUAUUAGAUCAACACAAGAGAGGGGGGGGGGGGGAUUACCCACUGCUACGGAGAAAUAUGCAGUCGGAACACUUUCUUAAAGGCAGUUAGUCUCCCUCCACAUCCGUCAUCCACUCUCCACAAUAUACAAGGAAUGUUCAUAAAGUCUUCACCCACCAGUACACAGUGUUGUCCUCUCCCAAUACGAAUUCAAUGAUCUCCUUCACUCAGGGGCCUUCCAAACAUAGGAU